GUGAGGAAUAUUGCGCAAUGGAGGCAACUCUGACGCAGCCAUGCCGCGUGCAGGAAGAAGGCGCUACGCGUUGUAAACUGCUUUUAACCGGGAAGAAACCCCAGGACGUGUCCUGGGUUGACGGUACCGGAGGAAUAAGCACCGGCUAACUUCGUGCCAGCAGCCGCGGUAAUACGAAGGGUGCAAGCGUUAUCCGGAUUCAUUGGGUUUAAAGGGUGCGUAGGCGGAGCGUUAAGUCAGUGGUGAAAUCCUGCAGCUUAACUGUAGACUUGCCAUUGAUACUGGCGCUCUUGAGUGCGCUUGAAGUGGGCGGAAUGUGCCGUGUAGCGGUGAAAUGCUGAGAUAUGGCACAGAACACCAAUUGCGAAGGCAGCUCACUAAGGCGAUACUGACGCUGAGGCACGAAAGCGUGGGGAUCGAACAGGAUUAGAAACCCCUGUAGUCC
This 445-nucleotide ribosomal RNA is filed under the name uncultured bacterium. RNAcentral's name for it is "partial 16S ribosomal RNA". It matches the Rfam family "Bacterial small subunit ribosomal RNA", at positions 354 to 796 of the family's 1533-position model. The record is from RNAcentral.